RNAcentral lists this non-coding RNA (24 nucleotides) under Cricetulus griseus (Chinese hamster). The record is from RNAcentral. Lineage: Eukaryota; Metazoa; Chordata; Mammalia; Rodentia; Cricetidae.
UGAUACUGUAGAGAUUACCCAACA